This 253-nucleotide ribosomal RNA is filed under the name uncultured bacterium. RNAcentral describes it as "partial 16S ribosomal RNA". It matches the Rfam family "Bacterial small subunit ribosomal RNA", at positions 524 to 776 of the family's 1533-position model. The record is from RNAcentral.
UACGUAUGGUGCAAGCGUUAUCCGGAUUUACUGGGUGUAGAGGGAGCGCAGGCGGCACGGCAAGCCUGAUGUGAAAGCCCGCGGCCCAACCGCGGGACCGCAUUGGGAACUACCGGGCUGGAGUGCCGGAGAGGUAGGCGGAAUUCCUAGUGUAGCGGUGAAAUGCGUAGAUAUUAGGAGGAACACCAGUGGCGAAGGCGGCCUACUGGACGGUGACUGACGCUGAGGCUCGAAAGCGUGGGGAGCAAACAGG